CGGCGUGCUUAACACAUGCAAGUCGAACGGGGAUAUCCGAGCGGAAGGCUUCGGCCGGAAGGUUGGAUAUUCGAGUGGCGGACGGGUGAGUAACGCGUGAGCAAUCUGUCCCAGACAGGGGGAUAACACUUGGAAACAGGUGCUAAUACCGCAUGAGACCACAGUAUCGCAUGAUACAGGGGUAAAAGGAGCGACCCGGUUUGGGGUGAGCUCGCGUCCGAUUAGAUAGUUGGUGAGGUAACGGCCCACCAAGUCGACGAUCGGUAGCCGACCUGAGAGGGUGAUCGGCCACAUUGGAACUGAGAGACGGUCCAAACUCCUACGGGAGGCAGCAGUGGGGAAUAUUGGGCAAUGGGCGAAAGCCUGACCCAGCAACGCCGCGUGAGUGAAGAAGGCCUUCGGGUUGUAAAGCUCUGUUAUAGGGGACGAAGGAAGUGACGGUACCCUAUAAGGAAGCCCCGGCUAACUACGUGCCAGCAGCCGCGGUAAUACGUANGGGGCGAGCGU
RNAcentral lists this ribosomal RNA (507 nucleotides) under uncultured rumen bacterium. RNAcentral describes it as "bacterial SSU rRNA". It matches the Rfam family "Bacterial small subunit ribosomal RNA", at positions 40 to 541 of the family's 1533-position model. The record is from RNAcentral.